RNAcentral lists this ribosomal RNA (777 nucleotides) under uncultured bacterium. Its description in RNAcentral is "bacterial SSU rRNA". It matches the Rfam family "Bacterial small subunit ribosomal RNA", at positions 8 to 794 of the family's 1533-position model. The record is from RNAcentral.
AGAGUUUGAUCAUGGCUCAGGGUGAACGCUGGCGGCGUGCUUGACACAUGCAAGUCGAACGGUAUGUGGCAACACAUAGAGUGGCGAACGGGUGAGUAACACGUGGGAACGUAUCUUUUGCAGGGGGAUAACUGACCGAAAGGACAGCUAAUACCGCAUAAGUCCGAGAGGAGAAAGGUGCAACAGCAUCGGCAGAAGAGCGGCCCGCGGUCCAUCAGCUAGUUGGUGAGGUAAGGGCUUACCAAGGCGACGACGGAUAGCCGGCGUGAGAGCGUGGCCGGCCACAAGGACACUGAGAUACGGGUCCUACUCCUACGGGAGGCAGCAGUGCGGAAUUUUAGAUAAUGGAGGGAACUCUGAUCUAGCGACGCCGCGUGCAGGAAGAAGGUCUUCGGAUUGUAAACUGCUGUGGUAAGGGAAAAAUGCUAUGUAGAGUGGAAAGCUACAUAGAGGGAUGGUACCUUACUAGAAAGCCCCGGCUAACUACGUGCCAGCAGCCGCGGUAAUACGUAGGGGGCGAGCGUUACCCGGAAUCACUGGGCGUAAAGGGAGCGUAGGUGGCCUAACAUGUCAACUGUGAAAACCCGGAGCUCAACUCCGGACUUGCAGUUGAAACUGGUAGGCUUGAGGACGGUAGAGGAAGACGGAACUGCCAGUGUAGGGGUAAAAUCCUUAGAUAUUGGCAGGAACGCCGGUGACGAAGGUGGUUUUCUGGGCCGGUUCUGACACUGAUGCUCGAAAGCCAGGGGAGCGAACGGGAUUAGAUACCCCGGUAGU